GAUGAACGCUGGCGGCGUGCCUAAUACAUGCAAGUCGAGCGAACAGAUAAGGAGCUUGCUCCUUUGACGUUAGCGGCGGACGGGUGAGUAACACGUGGAUAACCUACCUAUAAGACUGGGAUAACUUCGGGAAACCGGAGCUAAUACCGGAUAACAUAUUGAACCGCAUGGUUCAAUAGUGAAAGGCGGCUUUGCUGUCACUUAUAGAUGGAUCCGCGCCGUAUUAGCUAGUUGGUAAGGUAACGGCUUACCAAGGCAACGAUACGUAGCCGACCUGAGAGGGUGAUCGGCCACACUGGAACUGAGACACGGUCCAGACUCCUACGGGAGGCAGCAGUAGGGAAUCUUCCGCAAUGGGCGAAAGCCUGACGGAGCAACGCCGCGUGAGUGAUGAAGGUCUUCGGAUCGUAAAACUCUGUUAUCAGGGAAGAACAAAUGUGUAAGUAACUGUGCACAUCUUGACGGUACCUGAUCAGAAAGCCACGGCUAACUACGCG
This 497-nucleotide ribosomal RNA is filed under the name uncultured bacterium. RNAcentral's name for it is "partial 16S ribosomal RNA". It matches the Rfam family "Bacterial small subunit ribosomal RNA", at positions 28 to 507 of the family's 1533-position model. The record is from RNAcentral.